Long non-coding RNA from Aethalodelphis obliquidens (Pacific white-sided dolphin), 352 nucleotides. RefSeq lists it as uncharacterized. The transcript is spliced from 3 exons. The record is from RefSeq and is a predicted model, not a curated record. Lineage: Eukaryota; Metazoa; Chordata; Mammalia; Artiodactyla; Delphinidae.
GCACGCUCACCCGUACCCAAUGGGACGCCCAGAGAGGCGUGCGUGCGUACGACCUGCUGACACGUCCCACCGCUUCAUUUUCCGGUUGUGGAAACUGCGAGAGCGAGAUUCGGUGGCAGCAGUGGGACUGAAGGAGACUUCUGAUGGCUUCAGGGACAAUGAGAAACACAGGAGUGAUACCUUGUGAACCCCUUGAGUUCUCUUUCUUGCCAUUUCCGAGGGCCGUGGAAAUUGUACUACAAAAGGUGUAUUGGAUGAAGAGGUGAUCAAAAGACAUGCAACCAAAAAAUAUAGGAAAAAAGUAUAUAUUUAAAGUGAUGAAAGGGAAGAACCUACAACCAAGAUUACACUA